GGCCACAACAACACCUACGCGGCA
Molecule: non-coding RNA, 24 nt
Filed under: Arabidopsis thaliana (thale cress)
Lineage: Eukaryota; Viridiplantae; Streptophyta; Magnoliopsida; Brassicales; Brassicaceae
Source: RNAcentral